Molecule: long non-coding RNA, 6426 nt
Filed under: Homo sapiens (human)
Lineage: Eukaryota; Metazoa; Chordata; Mammalia; Primates; Hominidae
Description: PREDICTED lncRNA (TCONS_00084152)
Source: RNAcentral
CUCGGCUCAUUGCAACCUCCGCCUCCUGGGUUCAAGCAAUUCUCCUGCCUCAGCCUCCUGAGUAGCUGGGAUUACAGGCGCCCGCCACCACUCCCAGCUAAUUUUUGUAUUUUUAGUAGGGACGAGGUUUCACCAUGUUGGUCAGGCUGGUCUCAAACUCCUGACCUCGUGAUCUGCCCUCCUUGGCCUUCCAAAGUGCUGGGAUUACAGGCGUGAUGGAGAUGAUACUCCCUAAAUCACAAGGGUGUGGUGUGAAGAUGAAAUGGCUGCACGUGACAGAGGAGUUGGAGAACAGGAAGCAAGUGGAUUACUUGGAUGAACUGUGAUGGGCCCAAGAAGAACUAAGCCAAUCACUCCAGGGGGCGUUUUCCCAGGAUCCAGGCAGAGAGCUGAUUCCAGCAUCCACGUUGUAUCCCCCUCCCGCUGUGGCCGGGGUCUCCAAGAGCCGGGCACCCACUGCAGAGCUUCCAAGCCCAGGCCCAUUUGAACACAGGAGGACUUUUGAGGUUCAUUUAACCCCAAAAUCAGUGAUUCUACAUCUCAAGCUCAUAUUUUGAAGUGUUUACGGUCUCGAGCUCCAGUUCCCUGCCAGGAAGAGCUGAAGCUGAGCUCUGGCACCCCCUGCUUCUUCUCCCUCAUCCCUAAAACAUGUGGGGUACUGGGUGCCAAAGGAGAUCUGAAGAUGGCCACCACUCAGACCAGCAGUAGAGGCCAAGAAGGUGGUGAGAAAUUUUAAGGUAUUGUAGCAUAUGCUCUCCAGGGUGAGGACACAGGAUGCUGGGACCUAAGGAGGGAGAAGUUAACCCAGAGAGGGCCCAAGUCAGGGAGGACCUGACUGUGGUGACAGAGCCAGUCAUGCUAAUAAUAGGAGCAGUGGUUUUGCAAUCACAAAUAUUGGUCUGGGGGACUGCGGGCCCAAUGUGGUGGGAGUUUUAGAGCAGGGACCCCUCCACUGUACGUGGAUUCUUAUACUUGCUAAGUUGCACUGAAUUCUCAAUCAACCCAUUUGGAGGCUCUCACCAAGACAGGAGUCCCUUUGAAUUGGUAGGAUGUUAAAAGCUUCCUCCAGCCAUUGACCCUGGGUCCCAUUGGUAGAAAUCAGAUAAUAAAUCAGAUUUUCCAGGUAAUCCUCAGUUUAAUGUCCAUUCCCUCAUUCAAUCAAUUAUUCAAUUACAAAUCAUUUUUAAUAUGAUUUUAUGGUUCAGGAAUUCAGGCAGGGCUCAGAUGGGCAGUUCUUCUGCCCCACAUGGCAUUGGCUGAUAACAGGCUACCCCAAGGAAAUCACAGUGUAAUGGGAGAUGGGAAAUAGGUUAACACAAAGUUACUAUACUACAAGAAAAAUCUUCAAAUCUUCAAUCUUCAUUCUUCAUGGGUGUGAGUCUUCUCUGGUGGAGAAGAGAGUUCUUUGCUAAAUUAUAUUCCUGUGUUAGCCAGCCAAGCACACACGGAGUACAGCUGUCCCUUGCUAUUCAUGGCAGAUUGAUCCCAGACACUGCCACCCCCAGCCCUGUGAACACCAAAACCCAUGGAUGCUCAAGUCCUUGAUAUAAAAUGGUAUGGUAUUUGCACAUAACCUACACACAUCUUCCCAUAUACUUUAAAUCAUCACUAGAUUACUUAUAAUACCUAAUGCAAUGUAAAUGCUAUGUAAGUAGUUGCUACGCUGUAUUGCUUAGGGAAUAAUGACAAGAAAAAAAGGCUGUACAACUUCAGUACAAAUGCUAUCAUUCAUUUUUUUAUCUGAAUAUUAUGAUCCAUGAAUACAGAGGGCUGGCUGUAAAAAGAAUGUACAGUUUGGUACUUUACUCCUAGUUUAAGUCAUCUCUUUCGGCCCAUACAGGUUGCCUGGGGCAGGGCGGUGGUGAGUGUGUUGAGUCGGCCCUAUACCCUGUUCCACAAUGCCUGGUGUCCUUGGCACGUAGCUUGCAGGGCUGCUUCCAUGGAUGGCUGCCUCAUCCCCCACCCCUCCUUCAUGGCACCCUCUUUUCUCCAACUCCUUUUCCUCUGCUGAGUCCUACCUUUUCUUGCCAGACCAGGGAUUUGCCAAUUAUUCUGGAUGGGCACAGGGAAGGGGCCCUCAGAUCCUGCAGAGGGAGCAUCUGAAAGACAAUGAGACCCUGUACACAACCAAGCUGAGCCUCCUGUAAGCACAUCCUCUGGGUGUCACUAUGCGAAAAGACUCUUUGUCUGUUUACAUUGCACAACGAAUUGUCCCUCUGAUUGUCCUAGCGUUGGUGCAUGCAUGGAUCCAGGAAGAGCAGGUAUUUGGACCCAACGAGACAGGUUCAUCUUGGCAGUUUGUCUCCUGUGGUUGCUUUGUGCCUGCCCCGUAUCUAUCCACCCAACUUCUGGCAGCAAUCCCUCCAGGACCCACCUCUGUCUUCAUGGUUUGUGUGUUCUGAUCCUGCUCCUUGGCCCCAGAAUACACCCUCCACAUCUAAGCUAUGCAGUGCCUCAUCCCCACAGCUGCAGCGAUUGGUUUAGGAAUGGGAAAAUAAUCCAAUCAAAGUAAGAUUGUCUAAUAUCUGAUCCCGCUUACCCCGGAGCCAGAAGUCCCACCUUUCCAGGCUCCUCCAUGUUCCUUUCUGGAGCAAUGAGGAGGAAGGUUCAUUCCCUUCUCAGGGAACUUGCUGCGGUGUCCCAGUCCUGACUGUCCCCUCUCUACCCCUGCCUGUGGCUCUCCCGUCUCCUGGCAUUCUAACCUGCCACUGAAUUCUUCCCACGCCAAACGCAGGUUAGGAACCUAAGCUCGGAUGAAAUGCUGGCUUAGACCUCAUUGCUACUGAGAAGCAGAAACCACACUUUUUAGUUGGUAGAGGUGGAUGUGGAUUGGGGCCAUAAAGUUUCCUCAAUCAUUGAAUAAGGAUUUCAUUAUUUGGACUAACUAAAUACAUUAGAUUAUUUAUACUAACUAAAUAAAUUAGAUUUAUUUUUCGAAGUUUAAAAUCAUUUUCAAUAGUGACGAAAAAGGCUGUAGAUGAGAUGGGAGAAUCUUUCGACGCCAAAUUCUUCCCAUCUCCUGCCUAGUAUGUAUCACUACACCUUGCCCAGAGAGACUGUAGGGGUGCUCAGCAAAAACCAUGGCUGGUUGAUUCCCUGGAAAAAGGGGUGCUGUCCCAGGGAGCUCUGUGCCCUUCCUGCCAACACUGGGGUCUAGAGGAGGCAAGUUCCCCUCUGAAGGUGAGUAUGAUUCACUCAUUAAAACUAAGAAAUUUACAUUGGUAUGUUACUGUUAACUAACCUACAGACUUUUUUUAGAUUUCACCGUUCUUUACACUCUCGUCCUUUCCAAUUUCCGGGAUCCAAUGCAGGAUACCAGGUUGCAUUUUUGGAUGUGUCCAGUCUGUGAUCAUUUCUCAAUCUUUCCUCAUUUUCUCAUGACUUUUGACAUUUAUUUAUUUAUUUAUUGUGUGAGACUGAGUCUCACUCUGUUGCCUAGGCUGGAGUGCAGUGGCCCCAUCCUGGCUCACUACAAUCUCCACCUCCCGGGUUCAAAUGAUUCUCCUGCCUCAGCCUCCCAAGCAGCUGGGAUUACAGGCGCACACCACCACGCCUGGCUAAUUUGUAUUUUUAGUAGAGAUGGGGUUUCACCAUGUUAGCCAGGCUGGUCUCAAACUCCUGACUUCAGGUGAUCUGCCUGCCUCGGCCUCCCAAAGUGCUAGGAUUACAGGCGCAGGCCACCACGCCCAGCCUGACUUCUGACAUUAGAGUACAGGGAGGGAUUCUGUAGAAUGUCCCUCAAUUUGGGUGUGUCUGGUGUUUUGCCAUGAGACUGGGGUUAUGCUUCUGGGUGCCACACAGAGGUGAAAUGUCCUUCUCAUCACAUUAUUCGAGAGGUACAUGGUACCAAUGGGACUUAUCGCUGCUGAUGUUAACCUUGAUCUCUUGGUUCAGGUGGUGCCUGCCAGCUGUCUCCACUGUGGAGUUACUAUUUUUCCUUUUCCCCAUUUUAUUCAUCAGAAGCCAGUCACUAAGCGAGGUCAAACUCCAGGACAGGGGAAUUAAGUGCCACCUUCUGGAGAGGGAGCAUUCACAUUUAUUACUUGGGAUCCUUCUGUAAGGAAGAGCUGUUUCUCCUCUAAAAAACUCUUUAAUCCUUUUAAGCCUCAAUUUCUUAAUUGUGAAAUGGGGCUAAUACCUGUAUCCAACCAAGGGAGUAGUUAGAAGGUAACAUGAUAGGUGGAAAGCACUUAACAUAGGCAAAAUGUUAUUAUCAGGAAUGAUCGAGAGACCCAUCCAACUAUCUGAAGGAGUCACUUAACUCUACUGUACUGCAGCGCUGUAAAGUCUGCAUCUUUCACUGGGGGUAAAGGCCCCCAGUCCCUGAGACGGGCCAGUUUGGAGACAGGCUGGUUUUUUCUCUGUUCUCCUGAGAGCCCUUCAGAUGAGAAGGGAGGUCUGGAGACAGAAUGCCAAAAGCCCAUUAAAGGCACGGCCUUGCAUUUCAGAGAGGGAGCAGGUCUAGAGAAGAACCAGAGGAGCUCAGCUGAGAUAUGGUGUAUGGAUUGGAUUUUGGUAGAAGAUGGGAAGAACCAAACACCUGAGAAACCACUUUGAAGAUCGGGGUCAGAGUAAGGCCUAACACAUAGUUGGCUCCCAGUAAUUAUUGGUUGAUUGAACAGCUCAAAGAGCAACUCGACCAAGAACACUGGACUGGGAGUCCAGUUACUUGGAUCUUGCAUUCCUGAUUUAUUUUUAUUUUAUAUGUAUUUUUUCUAUUUUUUUGAGACGAAGUCUCACUCACUCUGUCGCCCAGGCUGGACUACAAUGGCACGAUCUCGGCUCACUGCAAACUCUGCCUCCCAGGUUCAAGCGAUUCUCCUGCCUCAGCCUCUCGAGUAGCUAGGAUUACAGGCAUGCACCACCACGCUGGCUAAUUUUUGUAUUUUUAGUAGAGACGGGGUUUUGCCAUGUUGGCCAUGCUGGUGUCCACCUCCUGACCUCAGUUGAUCUUCCUGCCUCAGCCUUCCAAAAUGUUGGGAUUACAGGCGUGAGCCACCGUGCCUGGCCGUGAUUUAUUUUUUUUGUGUAUGUUUGUUUUUGUCAACUUGCUGUGUGACCUUAAGCAAGUUACUUAACUUCUCUGGGCUUCACUUUCCAUGGAUGAACAUUGUAAAGAGGCUGGAGAGAGAUGAGGACUAGGUACAGGCUUUAGAGGAGAGCCACCGCCCCGGACUUCUCCCUCUGUCACCCCGCUUUCCAUGACCCUCCUUGCCUGACUUUGUGACUCCUUGCCUCGCUAUCAAAACAAGUGCUGCAAUCUCAGUGCUUUCCAAGAGCCCUGCAUUGUUAGAAACUUCCCAGCACGCAGCAAAGGCUGCUGCAAUACUCGCUCUGCCUGCCUUUGCCCUGCGCUUCCUACUUACCCUCCUUUUGUUUCUCCCAAACAUCUGUCCCUGACUAUGCUCAUCUCAUGUUUGUCCUCAGCUGCUGAAAGGGCCACGUUUGUUUUCAUUACAAAUAAGACCACCGAGUGGGCUCCUGGCGUGGGGGCGGGACCAGCCGCGCGCAGUCUUCAGAGGCAGCCCCCCAGGCUGUCUCUGGAGGGUGUGUCUCUGCUUCCCUUUCCCCGUGUUUAUUUUCAGACGAAGCCAAGUGGCCCGGGGGGACCCUCCGGACUCCCAGCCUUCAGAGAGGAGGGCAGCUCGGGCUUUCGCCGCAGUGCUUCCUGCCCGUCACGUGUGUGCUCCUAGCCGGGGUCGGGGGAGCUGGUAUCUUGGCCCUUCUGGGAGGACGCGCACAGCCCGAGGAGGCAGAGCCCCAGACGGGAAUGGGCUUUUCAGAGGUGGGGUGCGGGCGAGGGGACGAUGCAUUAUUUUUAAUAUUUGAUUUAUUUUUCCAACUGGACUUCUUCCCGGGGCUCUUUCUGGGCCCAGCUGCCUUUGUGAUCCCGCGCCCCGGUCCUCGGCCUCUCACCUCCAGCGCCGGGGCGCCCCCUGCUGUCGGAAGCGGCUGUGACCGGGCAGAGGUGCUAUCUGGGACUCUGGGUUCUCAGCCCGGGGACAGCGAACCGAGGGGCAGAUGAUCCAUCAGAAAAGAGCCGGCACUGCCCAGCCCCGCGCCCCUGCCCCUGCCUUUUUCCGGGAGCGCGCCGCGCCGCACCCGCUACGGCCGCUUGACCCCAUCUUUGAGCCCGGCCCCAAGCUCUGGGACCGUCGUGCCCCUCAUCAAGGAAGAGCCAAGGACCCCAAGGAGAAGAGAAAGGAGUUCAUGAAGGCAGAAAUGCCUGGGGCCCACGAACAUCCCAGUGUGGCCCUGGACGGGACAUCAUGCUGGGCAACACAGCUAAAAUGCGGGUGAAGACCAGAUUUCUUGCACAUGGCGGUGACGGGAUGCUCCCUAGAGAGCUUCAAGUGGAUUCUUUGCUUUUUAUUUUCUCUCUUAAUAAAAAUGUAUGAUGUUUACAUUGUCAGAGAACAAACAGAA